CCCUUAGAUGCUCUGGGCCGCACGCGCGCUACACUGGUCGAUGCAACGAGUUUCUUUCCUUGGCCGACAGGCCUGGGCAAUCUUUGAACAUCGAUCGUGAUCGGGAUAGAUUCUUGUAAUUUUUGAUCUUAAACGAGGAAUUCCUAGUAAACGCAAGUCAUCAGCUUGCAUUGAUUACGUCCCUGCCCUUUGUACACACCGCCCGUCGCACCUACCGAUUGAAUGGUCCGGUGAAAUCUCCGGACUGGCGUGAGUCGGAGCAAUCUGACAAACACCGGAAAGUUGAUUAAACCUUACCAUUUAGAGGAAAGUGAAGUCGUAACA
This 324-nucleotide ribosomal RNA is filed under the name uncultured eukaryote. Its description in RNAcentral is "partial 18S ribosomal RNA". It matches the Rfam family "Eukaryotic small subunit ribosomal RNA", at positions 1470 to 1796 of the family's 1831-position model. The record is from RNAcentral.